GUCCACGCCGUAAACGAUGGAUACUAGCUGUUGGGAGCGAUCUCAGUGGCUAAGCGAAAGUGAUAAGUAUCCCACCUGGGGAGUACGUUCGCAAGAAUGAAACUCAAAGGAAUUGACGGGGGCCCGCACAAGCGGUGGAGCAUGUGGUUUAAUUCGAUGAUACGCGAGGAACCUUACCAAGGCUUAAAUGUAGGUUGACCGGUUUUGGAAACAGACUUUUCGCAAGACAAUUUACAAGGUGCUGCAUGGUUGUCGU
RNAcentral lists this ribosomal RNA (256 nucleotides) under uncultured bacterium. RNAcentral's name for it is "partial 16S ribosomal RNA". It matches the Rfam family "Bacterial small subunit ribosomal RNA", at positions 793 to 1055 of the family's 1533-position model. The record is from RNAcentral.